AUACGUAGGGUGCGAGCGUUGUCCGGAAUUACUGGGCGUAAAGAGCUCGUAGGUGGUUUGUCGCGUCGUCUGUGAAAUUCCGGGGCUAAACUCCGGGCGUGCAGGCGAUACGGGCAUAACUUGAGUACUGUAGGGGAGACUGGAAUUCCUGGUGUAGCGGUGAAAUGCGCAGAUAUCAGGAGGAACACCGGUGGCGAGGGCGGGUCUCUGGGCAGUAACUGACGCUGAGGAGCGAAAGCAUGGGUAGCGAACAGGAUUAGAUGCCCUGGUAGUCCAUGCCGUAAACGGUGGGCGCUAGGUGUAGGGGUCUUCCACGACUUCUGUGCCGUAGCUAACGCAUUAAGCGCCCCGCCUGGGGAGUACGGCCGCAAGGCUAAAACUCAAAUGAAUUGACGGGG
Molecule: ribosomal RNA, 398 nt
Filed under: uncultured bacterium
Lineage: Bacteria
Description: partial 16S ribosomal RNA
Rfam family: Bacterial small subunit ribosomal RNA
Source: RNAcentral